UACAACAAUUUUGACCAGAUAUAACAUUAAAAUAUGACAUAUUAUUAAAAACGUUAUUGAUACAUGCAUAAAAAAGAUACAGUAGGCGCCAAAUGAAAAAAGUGGGCGCGAAAUGAAAUUGACAAAAAUAAAAAAAGCUAAAACAAUAAAAAAUGGAGAAUGUUUUCUGAAUCCCUAAUCCCUUUACACACUGCCUCUCUCUCACACACACUCCAGUCAGUUCUCUCCCACUCUCACUCGCUCUUUCUUUCUCUCAGAGUCUAUCGGCUCUCUCUCCUUCAGUCCACUAUUCUUCAAUCCCUUCCAUUGAGCAGCUGAAGCACACCAUGACCGCACCAUUGUUGAAGCGAUGAGUCUCUUGUCCUUUUCCAUUGCUGUGUAUCUCUAUCGCUAGCUAGAAGCAAGAACCCAGGUGACUGUGAGUCUUCUCUUGCAGAUGGCUAGCGCAGGAGGCUUGACGGAGACGGUGACAGGGAUCGACCUUACGUGGGCCGACGAUAUCCUUCUUUCUCUGCUUUUGUUGUUGCAAAUCUGACAGUUAUGCUAAUCUACGAAGGUUAUGCUCUUAUUUUGAAUGGAUUUACUAGCUUUCACCAUUUAUCUUUCUUUUUUUGCCUUAAAUUGCAGCUACAAAUCUUUUUUCUGAUGGUAAUUUUGGACCUUAUUUUCUCUUAUGUACUCCAUUUUUAAGUUUUGUUCUUUUUUUUAUUGUGAGAUACCCAAACUCUUGAUUUCGAGAUUUAAUAUGUGAGUUAUAUUAGUGAUUUGGGGAUACUGUAACCCUUAAUUGAUAGCUUAGUAUAUGGACACACACAAAUGUACAUAUAUAAAGAUCCUACUUCCAUUUCCAAAAGGUGAAGAUAUUAUACAAAUGCAUCAAACCGAAUAAUCAAAACUCCAAUUUUUGUAGAAUUACGAAAUACUAAUUGUGUUGUUGAAGCUUGGGUUAUGAAAGUCCAAUGUUGAAAUUGCAUUUGAUGCUAAAUGGUUUGAGACAGUUGGCAGGGGCUUCAAACUGUGGGUAAUAUCUCUUUCUUUUUCUAUUAUUUAAUCUCAGUGCACAUAAUUACACUUGUUUUGUUAAUUUAAUUUCUUAUCUUUUUUGGGUUUAGCUUCUAUUAAUAUAUAUACACAUUUCCGUGCCUAUUGAUUCAGUUGAGGAAAAAAACGUUUAUCCAUGUGUAAAAUCACACCAAUGAGGAUUGUCUAAUGUCUGAUCAAUUUGAAGAAAUAAGAGUUUCUAUUUAAUGACACAUUUGAUUUAUAUAUUGUUAUUAGCUUGUUGUUCU
Long non-coding RNA from Humulus lupulus (European hop), 1289 nucleotides. RefSeq lists it as uncharacterized. The record is from RefSeq and is a predicted model, not a curated record. Lineage: Eukaryota; Viridiplantae; Streptophyta; Magnoliopsida; Rosales; Cannabaceae. The transcript has 3 exons.